RNAcentral lists this ribosomal RNA (253 nucleotides) under uncultured bacterium. Its description in RNAcentral is "partial 16S ribosomal RNA". It matches the Rfam family "Bacterial small subunit ribosomal RNA", at positions 524 to 776 of the family's 1533-position model. The record is from RNAcentral.
UACGUAGGGUGCAAGCGUUGUUCGGAUUUACUGGGCGUAAAGCGCACGUAGGCGGUUUGUUAAGUCAGGGGUGAAAUCCCGGAGCUCAACUCCGGAACUGCCCUUGAUACUGGCAAGCUAGAGUCCGGAAGAGGUGAGUGGAACUCCUAGUGUAGAGGUGGAAUUCGUAGAUAUUAGGAAGAACACCAGUGGCGAAGGCGGCUCACUGGUCCGGUACUGACGCUGAGGUGCGAAAGCGUGGGGAGCAAACAGG